AUUGAACGCUGGCGGCAUGCUUUACACAUGCAAGUCGAACGGUAACAGGUUAAGCUGACGAGUGGCGAACGGGUGAGUAAUGCAUCGGAACGUGCCCGGUCGUGGGGGAUAACGCAGCGAAAGCUGCGCUAAUACCGCAUACGAUCUGAGGAUGAAAGCGGGGGACCGUAAGGCCUCGCGCGAUCGGAGCGGCCGAUGUCAGAUUAGGUAGUUGGUGGGGUAAAGGCUCACCAACACAACGAUCUGUAGCUGGUCUGAGAGGACGACCAGCCACACGGGGGCUGAGACACGGACCAGACUCCGACGGGAGGCAGCAGUGGGGAAUUUUGGACAAUGGGCGAAAGCCUGAUCCAUCAAUGCCGCGUGCAGGAAGAAGGCCUUCGGGUUGUAAACUGCUUUUGUACGGAGCGAAAAGGCUCUCUCUAAUACAGGGGGCUCAUGACGGUACCGUAAGAAUAAGCACCGGCUAACUACGUGCCAGCAGCCGCCGCCG
RNAcentral lists this ribosomal RNA (493 nucleotides) under uncultured bacterium. RNAcentral describes it as "partial 16S ribosomal RNA". It matches the Rfam family "Bacterial small subunit ribosomal RNA", at positions 29 to 523 of the family's 1533-position model. The record is from RNAcentral.